Molecule: ribosomal RNA, 460 nt
Filed under: uncultured bacterium
Lineage: Bacteria
Description: partial 16S ribosomal RNA
Rfam family: Bacterial small subunit ribosomal RNA
Source: RNAcentral
CCUACGGGUGGCAGCAGUGAGGAAUAUUGGUCAAUGGGCGCGAGCCUGAACCAGCCAAGUCGCGUGAAGGAUGACUGCCCUACGUGUUGUAAACUUCUUUUAUAAGGGAAUAAAGUGAGGCACGUGUGCCUUUUUGUAUGUACUUUAUGAAUAAGGACCGGCUAACUCCGUGCCAGCAGCCGCGGUAAUACGGAGGAUCCGAGCGUUAUCCGGAUUUAGUGGGUUUAAAGGGAGCGUAGAUGGGUUGUUAAGUCAGUUGUGAAAGUUUGCGGCGCAACCGUAAAAUUGCAAUUGAUACUGGCAGUCUUGAGUACAGUUGAGGUAGGCGGAAUUCGUGGUGUAGCGGUGAAAUGCUUAGAUAUCACGAAGAACUCCGAUUGCGAAGGCAGCUUACUAACUCGCCACUGACAUUGAUGCUCGAAAGUGUGGGUAUCAAACAGGAUUAGAUACCCGUGUAGUC